This 497-nucleotide ribosomal RNA is filed under the name uncultured bacterium. RNAcentral's name for it is "partial 16S ribosomal RNA". It matches the Rfam family "Bacterial small subunit ribosomal RNA", at positions 28 to 507 of the family's 1533-position model. The record is from RNAcentral.
GACGAACGCUGGCGGCGUGCCUAAUACAUGCAAGUAGAACGCUGAAGAGAGGAGCUUGCUCUUCUUGGAUGAGUUGCGAACGGGUGAGUAACGCGUAGGUAACCUGCCUUGUAGCGGGGGAUAAUUAUUGGAAACGAUAGCUAAUACCGCAUAACAAUGGAUGACACAUGUCAUUUAUUUGAAAGGGGCAAUUGCUCCACUACAAGAUGGACCUGCGUUGUAUUAGCUAGUAGGUGAGGUAACGGCUCACCUAGGCGACGAUACAUAGCCGACCUGAGAGGGUGAUCGGCCACACUGGGACUGAGACACGGCCCAGACUCCUACGGGAGGCAGCAGUAGGGAAUCUUCGGCAAUGGGGGCAACCCUGACCGAGCAACGCCGCGUGAGUGAAGAAGGUUUUCGGAUCGUAAAGCUCUGUUGUAAGUCAAGAACGAGUGUGAGAGUGGAAAGUUCACACUGUGACGGUAGCUUACCAGAAAGGGACGGCUAACUACGUG